CCCUUAGAUGUUCUGGGCCGCACGCGCGCUACACUGAUGCAUUCAACGAGUCUAAAACCUGCUCUGAUAGGGGUGGGUAAUCUUUUGAAUGUGCAUCGUGAUUGGGAUAGAUGAUUGCAAUUUUUCAUCUUCGACGAGGAAUGCCUAGUAAACGCAAGUCAUCAGCUUGCAUUGAUUACGUCCCUGCCCUUUGUACACACCGCCCGUCGCUCCUACCGAUUGAAUGAUCCGAUGAAUAUCAUGGAUUGAGGAUGCAAGUAGGUUAGCCUAUCUUCAUCUUCGAGAAGUGAAGUAAAUCUUAUCAUUUAGAGGAAGGAGAAGUCGUAACA
This 329-nucleotide ribosomal RNA is filed under the name uncultured eukaryote. RNAcentral describes it as "partial 18S ribosomal RNA". It matches the Rfam family "Eukaryotic small subunit ribosomal RNA", at positions 1470 to 1796 of the family's 1831-position model. The record is from RNAcentral.